GCCCCUCCCCCACUUGUGCUGUGUCUCUCUCUCUCUCUCUCAAAACGUUAAAAACAUUAAAAAACAUAAAAACAUUAAAAAAGAAAUAAGUGCAGUAAUUACUCAAUUAUCUGACAAUGGCUUAGGAAAAAUUUAUGGUAUUAGACUCUUGACUCUUGAUGAACGGAUAUCCCUCAUCAAGCCUGAAAUGGAAAAAGAAAAAAAAAAGGCAGAGAGUGAGUCCACAGUUCAGAGCUGCUCUCUUGCUCAUUCCUUCCUUAGGGAGAGUGAUAUUCCCAAAGCCUGGAUAUGUCUCCUAAUUGCCAGUGACUAGUCUCUGUCCUAAUCUCAUGUAUACCUUUUAUUUCUCUUGCUUACUGGUUCAAAGGCAAACCAAAGUGAAAGUACCAUUGAAGAGAGCCCAGGUGGCCAGUCGGUUGAGCAUCCAACUCUUGAUUUUGGCUCAGGUCAUGGUCACAGGGUCAGAAGAUUGAGUCCCUUGUCAGGCUCCAUGCUGAGCAAGGAGCCUGCUUAAGAUUCUCUCUCUCUCUGCCCCUUUCUCUCUCUCUCUCUCUCUCUCUCUCUCUCUCUCUCUCAUAAAUAAAAAAUAAAAAUAAAAAUAAGAUAGUAAAAAAACAAAAACAGUGAAAGCACCAUUAAGUGAAUCCGAGUGGCCAUUCUGACCCAUCCCCAAACUCUGGCCAGCGUGCAGUCUGGCCAUAGGUAGAGUGCUACCAGUAAGCCUGGGUAUCUCCCAAAUAUUGGGCUCUUCAGGUAAAUAUUUGGCAAAUCUAAGCUCACCUUCCUCUUCAACACCACAGUGAACUAGUUAUGACAUUGAGAAGCCUGAGCCAAACUUGCAGUUUGGUGAUUUAGGUGGUAGAGAUGAAGGUUUGAGCCACCUGUGCCUCUUUCCUGAAAUAACUGGGUGUGAGAUGUUGAGUUUGCAAAAGGCUUCUCAGGUUUUUGUUGGGAUGGUGACAGUGAUGAGACUGGCCUUGUUAUAUUCCCUCUCUGAGUCCUGGUAUCUCUUUACAGACCUUUCCGUUUAGAAGAAUGUCUUAGGACAGAGUCUCCACAAGCACAACUUGAAGGAAGGAUUUAUUUAUAUGUCAAUGGUUUACUAAGGAAGUGUUCCUAAGAGGAAUCCGUAAGGAAGCGAGGAAAGCAGGAGAAGAAGUGGACCCAAGCACAGGAUAUGAUGGCUUCAGUAUUUCUGAAGACACAGAAUUUCCACUAAUCAUUCAGCAGAGAGGAGCUAUUAUGAAGUUCCAAGAACAAGGACAGAAUAUCAGGGCAGCUCACAUCCCAGCAAUCCACCAGUCUUGGAGCGACUGAAUGAGGAGGCAUCCAGAUGUGUCCUGGGUGCAGACCUAAGAUGACCUGCCUAAAGCUAUAGCUAAUAAGAAGUAGUUGCUUGAAAGCUGGUGGGAAGUUUCAUUGUUUGCUCUCCUCUCUAGGAGACCAAAGAGAGGUGAAGUCUUUCCUGAGCACAGAUGAUCGAAGCUGGGUGAAACACUCAGUCAAAUUAGAGGAAAGCAAGAUUAAAGCUCUUACCAAACAAGUCUCCUGACAUCUACCUCAAACCAAAUGAGCCCCAGGCAGUGACUCUGACCCCUCCUAGAAAACAAGCGGAAGAUUGUACCUUUAUAAUAAGACAGAGAGUCUUUAAGAGGAGUGGCCAUGCAAUACACAUAUUGUGUAUCCCUGAGAAUGCCUAACAAAUAUUGGUUUCAGUUUCAAGAAUGGAUUUCUCCAUGUCUCAGGGAUUUUAAAUCUUGAAGAGAUGAUCUUACCUCAUGGCAGCCAGUCCAGUGUUUUUGCCACCUGACCAUACCACUUCCAGAAGGACCUUGAUAACCAGCUUGAUGGUCAGAUUGUCCAUUUCAAUGACUUUGUCGGUAUAGAGUUUCUCCAGAAGUUCACACAAUGACUUGGCACCCUGGCCUGUGACAUCGUUGGCCUUCCAGAUACAGAGACCUUCCGUGAGUCUGACGACAUGCUUUCACUUCAAGGCAAGCGAGCUGAAAACACCUGCAAAGGGCACAGGAGGAAAGCAAAAAGGCCUCUGAGUAACCAGCCUGAAUUCUACACUGCAGCAAAGCUUGUGUAUUUUUUAAAAAAAAUCAGUUUUUCCAGCUGUUGAAUGACUUCAGGAAGCUUUCCCAAGGCCCCAUCUGAUGCAAAGUCCUCCCCUGUGCUUCACCACUGCUUGUCUUUACCCUGAUCCCAGCACAAUGGCUCUGCUUGUUGUCUGGUUUGCCACGUCUGUUGUUAAUUUAAACCACCAGGAGGUCAGGGACGACUCUAUUUUGUUUGAAUGGCAUGCGUUCACCGGAAAAUAAUCUUCUCUCCAAUGUAGAAUCCUGAGCAUGAGAAUUCUCAAGACACACUAGGUCAAGAGUGAGAGGAAAGUACAAAAUAUAUGUUCACUGUCUUAUAUGGCGUUUCUUCUUGUGAACAUAUGGGUAUAAUCGUGGCUCAAUAAAAGAUGUGCUCCAAUUAUCUCUCUUUGGUCCUCCCUUUGAAAUACUCCCUAAUUGGUAACACAUUUGCUUAGCCACUCUACUAGGUAGUUACUACUUAAAAAUUGGAGAAUUUUUAAGAGUUUAGCAGAACAUCUGGGAGCUGUGAAAACUGAUUUUGGCUGAACUUCUCUUUGUUUUUUUCCAGUGUUUGGUUUUUUUUUUUUUUUCUAUACAAUUACACUUGCAUCCAACUUCUGUCAAACCUGAUUGUUUGGGAAUUUUACCCGUAGUACUCUUAUUCCUCACAGAACCCUAGAAACCUGAGCAUUGAUCUUUCCUCCUUGUCUCCAGCCCAUAUCUGAGUCUGGCAUUUAUUAUUUUCUUCAGCUGUAACAUUUUAAUCCAUUCAUAACUUUGCUUAUAUCUCUGACUUGGAGAUCUUGGGCCACCUUUUAAUUUAUUCUUUUAUGCACUCGUUCAUUCACGUGUUCAACAAAUAUUUACUGAGUUGCCUUGGCACCACUAGAGAUAAAAGAUGAAUAAUGGUUCCUGCCCUCAAAAACUUUACUAUGGGGAAAUAGUCAAACAAUCCAUUAAAAUACAACAACAUAAAUGCUAUUUAUUCAUUCAGGUAGUCUCUGGGUUCCUACUCUGUCCCAGCACUGUGCAAGGCAGAUGUUACAAAUAGAUUGCCAUAUAGGAGGAAUACCUAAUGGGGGAAGGGGAAGUCUUCCAGAAGAGAUGAUCCCAAGUUUGGCCCUGAAUGAUGAAGAGGCUCUAACCAGGGAAGUUGGAGGCAGAAAAACAAGGAGGGAUUAUUAUGUUCACAGCAGACGGAGCAGCAUCUAAAAAGUUUUAGAAGGAAGAAAGAUGUGCCAAGGGCAUUACAAGCUCUUGGCUAUGGCCAGGAACUGUGUCAUAGUAGCAUUUAUCAAAUAUAUGCUGAAUGAAAGAGUAGAGAGAAAUAAUGCUGUAGAAGCAAGGAGGGAUGAAGUUUUUUUUAAUGUUUAUUUAUAAAUUUAUUUUGAGAGAGGGAGAAAGAGAAUCACAAGCAGGCUCUACACUUAACACAGAGCCCAAUGUGGGGCUUGAUCUUAUUAUGACUGUGAAAUUAAGAGUUUGAUGCUCAACCUACAGAGCCACCCACGUGCCCCGUAAGAAACCUUUUAAGUUAUGCGAAGGAGUUUGGACUUCACCUUGACAAUUAUGGGAGACCAUUGAAAAGAAUGUUAGGAUGAUGGGGCUGAGAGUAGGGGUACAGAAUAGAUAUGAUCAGACCUGUAUUUUAAAUUUCUCACUUUGGUCUUAUCAUCAAGAUUGACACAGACAAGAGUGAGGGCAGGGAGCCCAGGAAUGAAGCUGUUGCUAUAAUAUAGAUCUUAAUAACCCUAGAAUGUGGUCCUGGACCAACAGCAUCGUGUACAUAACCCAGGAGCUUGUUAUAAGUGCAGAAUCUUGGGGCACACCAAGAUUGAGUCAGAGACUGCAUUUCAUUAUAAUAAGUUCACUCAGUGAUUCCAAUACAUAUUAAAAUUUGAGAUGCACUUAUCUAAACUUAAUUAUGUUAGUGGUAGCAGGGUUAAGAAGAAUGGGAAGAUUUGAGAGGUGUUUCACUGGAACAAUCAACCAGAUUUGGUGAGCUAAUGGAUGAGAGGGAAGGAUAACAAACAGAUGUAGUAUCUCUAAGUGAAGAAAAAGGGUUGGAGAGAGAGCUGGUACUGAUCUCUUGGGCCUGUACUUUAAAAAAAUUGAUUUGAAAUCUAUUCAUAGAAGUAAUAAAAUUGUUAUAUAGCUAAUCUCUGCUCUGAAAACCACAGCCAGGGGGACACUUAGAAUUGUAACAUAGAAAAUAUUAUGGAAUCAAAGAUAUCUGCUCAGUAGGGUAGCACUUUUUUGAUUACACUAUACCUCAAAACUUCUCUCUUUAUGGCAACAUAUCAGAGACUGAAAUAACACUCUUAGUUUAGGUUAGCAUGUGUCUAGCAGACCAGAAAGGGAGAAAGGAAAGGAGCUUGCUCAAAAGAGAGAAACAGAGAGACAGAGACAGAAAGACCGAAGAAUUUUUCAAGUCACAGCUCCAGCCUGUUGUAGAGCCUGUUGGAGAAAAGUGAACUUCUUUAUACAUAAAGAUCACAAAAAUUCUAAACCUAAGUGAAUUUGCCUUGGAAAUUUAAGGGAAUUGAUAAGAUACCUAAUGAUUUUGAAUGCUAACUAUGUACCAAUCACUGCCUAUUCACUGUUGGUAUUUAAUGUCACUUGUUUUUGACAAUCCUGUAAGGUAAAUGUCUCCCUCCUCUUCUUUCAGUUAGGGAGAUUGAGUAUCAUCAAUGUGAAAGUGUUUGCUGGAGGCAGAUCAGCAACUUCUGAUCUGAACUGCAACUUCCACCCAGGAUUUCAACCCUGUAUGUCCAGGCUUUUCCUACCAUUCUGUGCUGUCUUUUAAAAUAGACAACUCUUUACAUUUGACAAUCCUUUAAAGGAACCAACAUCCAGCACAUGUGACGUGGGACAUAAAAUACCUUGCAUGGAAUACAUAACCAGUUCAAGAAGAGGAGAGCAUACAGACCAGACAAGGUCAGAAACAUUCCCCUUAGCCACACAGCUAAGAAUCCAUCAGUUCCCUAAAGUGAAGAUUAGAAAGGUUAACACCAGACCCAUAAUGCAUAUUGUUUGUAUUUAUAUUACAUUCAUAUAUAUUAUUGUAUUUUAUUAGUUACAUUCCACAUGUUGCUACAUUCAUUCUUGUACAUUCAGUUCUCAACAUUUUGUUGUCUUUGUAUUGUCGAUGGAAUAUAAGGUCUUUAAUUUCAUUAAGCAAGGUGAAGAUAAAUGACAAUUAGGGCCAGGAAUUUGGAACCAAGCAAAAGCAGAAACAUGCCUUAGGAAGGCUAUUUCUUGUCUGUGCUGGAAGUUACCAAUUUUGAAUACAUUUUAAGACAAGUCAUUGCGGAAGAUACAAAAAUCAAUAAACUAGGAGUUCUGCCGUCAAGUACCUAGCAAUCUAGGGUGGGAGACACAGCAAGUUUAAUAAUAAAAAUAGUGAAAGAAUAUGUUAAGUACCAUAUGUGAUCAUAUAGAGAUAAAAUGAGAGAAGUGAGUUUCCAUUAUUAUGGCUGUGUAACAAGUUAUCCUGAGACUUAGUGUUGUUAAAUACCCAUUUAUUCUAUGGUUUGGGAAAUAAGACAGGGAAUAUCAGGGAUAAAUUGUCUCUACUUCAUGAUGUCUGGGACCUCAGUUGGAUGACUUGAAGCUUAGGGGUUGGAAUCAUCCGAAGGUUCAUUUGUUUGCAUGUCUGGCAGUUGAUGCUGCCUAGACUCAAAAAGCUGGUCUGCUGGGAUAGUUGAGCUUCUCAGGCAUCUCACUCUGUCUUUCUGUGGUCCCUCUACCUGGUCUCUCUAUCUUGGGCUGCAUGUUGAAAGAGAGCAGCAGGUGGCUGUAUGGCUUUUUCUAACCCAGUCUUACUUAAAAGUCACUUCUACCACAUUGUUGGAAUCAAUUCACUAGGGCUAGCCUGUAUUUAAAGGGAAAGGAAUUAUACUCUACCUUUUGUGGGAAAAGAGUCCAACAAUUUGUGGGCAUGUUCUAAAAACACCACACUGGAAGGGCACCUAGGUGUCUCAGUCGGUUGAGUGUCCGACUUUGAUCUCACAGUUUGAGUUUGAGCCCCACAUUGGGCUUGCUGCUGUCAGCACAGAGCCCACUUGAGCUCUUCUGCCCCCCUCUCUCUCUGUCCCUUACCCGCUUGCACUCUCAAAAAUAAAUAAAUGUUAAAACACCACACUGGAGAAUCAGGGAACACUUUGUGGAAAUACUACCAUUGGAGCUGGGUAUUGAAAGAUGAAUGUAAUUUGAAUAAGCGAAGGUAAUAUAAGUGGAAGUAAACACAGGGAUCUUUAUCUGCAGGUAAACCAUGCAAGAACAUAACAGACUGAUAAAACUAGUGCAUUGGGAGUACAAGAAAUAAGCCUGAAACAUAAAUGGGGCCCAAGGUGUGGCAGGAGUUCAGCACCAAGCUAAGGAGAAUGUAUUUGAUUCAGCUGGCAAUGCAAAGCUAUGAUAGUUGUGGUUCUCAACCUGAGCCACCAUUGGAAUCAUCUGGGGAGCCUUAAAAAUACCAAUGCCUGGAUCCCACCCCCUAAGAUUCUAAUUUAGUUGUUCUAGAAUACAGCCUAAGCUUCAGGACUUUUGAAAGCUUCCCAGGUGAUUCUUGUUAGCCAACGUUGUAAACUAGGACACUAAAGGCGUUUGAAGAGAUGAGAUAUUAUCAGAAAUCAGUUUACAUGCUCUCUCUGGGAACCAGUGAGUAGUUUACAGCAGUCUGCAUAUGCUACCUGAACAAAUGAACUUCAUCACAAAAUGAAGUCAGUUGGAGUCGUUUUCUUCUGCCAAGAAAUAAGACGAGAAGGAUUAUGAAUGAUGGAAGUUAUGCUCAAGUUGCUGGAGUGGUUCACUUUAAGAAGAUCGAGUAUGAAAAAUGGUAUGAAAAAUGUACAUUAGGGGGCAAGGAUUCAUAGCACAAAUGAAUCCUUUUCAAUAUGUAAAUGUUUAUCCCAGAAAUCCUUUAUAUAUUCAACUACAGCUGAAUUUUUUAAACGUCCAAUUUACUAAAAAUAGUUUCAUAUUUAUCGCAUAGCGUGAGUUUCAGGAGAAUAUUGAUUUCACACUUACUACUUAUAACUGAAACUAAAGCAAAAGGUGAGGGAGAUUUUGUGGGUCAAAUUUGCAAUGCUCAAAUUGCAAAAACAAAACAAAAACUCUGCAAAGUUUAUUCUCUACAAAAACAGAAACAAAACAGAACAAAGAAAAUCAUGUGUCAGAUGAACAGACAAAGCCCGAUCCAUAGCUCAGGCAAGCAGGUGGGCAGACAAGCAGGCAGGUGGGUGGAUAGUUGGGCCUGAUGGAGAGAUGGGUGGGCAGUCUGGCAGGCUGUUCCAUCCAUGUACAGGGGCGGAUUAUUAGGCAGGAUCCAGAGAAUGACAUGACAGAUUGGCAACAAGGGAAACAUCAGAAAAUAUGGCUGGAGGACUUCAUUGUUAAGGCAGAAACUUUUUUGUGCUUUCUCUGUGUGGGCAAAUCACCUGUUAUGUGUGGGCAGUCCUGGCCCAUAGGGUUACAAAGAGCCAGAAAAAGUCAGGAGCUCAAGUGAAUUCUACCCAUGAUCAGAGAUACUAAAAUUAUCCCCAGACUAGCUUUGUUAAUGUGAAGAAGAGAAUCACUAACAAAAUGUUCCCUUUGACUCUGGGAGUUGAUGAUAACAGUAAUAACUCUGCAAUCUCUACUGGGGACUUGAGUCAUGCAACAGAUGUCACUGGAGGUUGAGGCAAGUAUGUGGCCCAACAGGCCAAAUGGCCUUCCUUGAUGUCACAAAAGACCCUGGUAGGGUUGGAAGUCAAUUUCUCUUAAAAUUCCUGCUUGGAUAUCCCUCCAUGAAACAUUAGUAAAUAAACCGUGUGGCUAAUAUUUUCAAGUUUGUGAGAAAAGGAUUGAUUGAACUGGAAACAGUGAAAAAGGUAGCAUAAGUCAGGAAGACUGUUGGGCCCUUCGGUAAGGUCUUAACAUUCUGAAGACGCAGAGGUAGUCCACCACUAAAUACAGGCAUAAUAGAAAUAGAACUCAUGGGGCCAGAUAAGAUUUCAAGUGAUUCACCCACUAAAGAUGGUCUGCAUAUUGGUGAUCCGUAGUGAUGAUUCUAAGAGAUGUAUCUAUCCUUCUAACAAAACUAAACUCCUUGGCUUUUAUGUCCUAAUUUGGCUUCAUAAUUUUCAGCUGAGGGAAGCAAAAAGCACAUGUUGGGUUUUCAGUCCCAGAUGGUAGUAUCUGCUUCCAGGUAUACUUAUUUAUUAUUUUGUUGUGUUUUCUUAGAACUAGGUAUAGCAAAUUAUAUAGGGCUACAAAGACCUAUAAGAGGUCACAUGAGUGAAAGGCCACCUACUUUGUUCAUACUCUCAGUCUUAUCUUCUGACUAUCUUCAGGAUACUCAAUUCCUCCAGUGGUAUUUUAAAUUUUGAAGUUUUAUGUAGUUCCAUUUCUGGCCUCUUCCCUUAGUAACCUCAUCAAUUUCUAUGGCUUCAGAUACCAUCCGUGUUCCAAGUGACUUCCAAAUAUCAAGCUCUACCUCUGUUCUAAAAAUGUGAUCCCUGAGUCAGCAGUAACAACAUCUUCUGGAUCCUUGUUAGAAAUUCAAGUUCCUGCCCCUACUCUCCCAGAUGUAUAAAAUCAGAAACCCUGAGGGUGAGGUCUGGUAAUCUGUAUUUGAACAAGCUCCAAAGCCGAUUCUGAUGCUAAAGUUUGAGGGUUACUGCUUUAGUUUGUACUGGCUUUGUGAGAUGCAUGCUGCUGUAGGUAACCAACUAGAAUUUCAUGGAUGUCUAAGCGACAGACAUGUCCAAAAUGGACCCAUGAUCUUUCUCUACUUCCCAAACUAUCUCACUUAGAGUAUUCCAUAUUUCAGUAACUAUCAUCACUCAGUUUCUUAAGCCAGAAAUCUGAGAGUCACCCUUGACACUUGUUUCUACCUCCCCUUCCACAUUCAUUUAAUCACUAUACUGUGUUUAACUCUACCUUUAGAAUUUAUUUUACACCUAUCUGUUUAUUUCCAUCGUGAAGACUACCACCCUGUGCUAAGCCACCAUCAUCUCCUGCCUAGACUACUGAGAUAUAUCCAGCUGGUAUGUCCCUACCCUCUUCUCGUCCCCAGUAAUACACUCUUCACGGCUCCUUCCAUAGUCCUGAGCGUGUCAACCCUUAACUUAGAUCUUUCAAGGGGGUUAUCCUUUGCACUUAGAAUUAGGACCCACAUCUUCAGUAGGUUCUACUGCUUCCCAAAGUGUAAGGGGUGGGGGUGAACUACUGCAUUAGAAUCUCUUGGGGGUAGAGCUUGGAACUUUGCAUUUAUGAUAUUAUAUAAAGUAUUCCAAUUACAGUCAGUCCUCAUAAAAUUUCAUAUUAUAAAAUGUUCCAGAUUAUAAUGUGUAACCAGUUUUUAGCAGUAAAUGCAGUUGCCUUUCACUAAAAGCCUAAGAAAAGUUUGAUCAUUGUUCAUUUCAUUUAAGAUUUUUCAAUUAAAAGUAUACACUUUAUGUUUAGUUCACUGACAUUUAUAGUAUGCUUACACUGUUUUCAUCAAGGAUAUAUUACUAAAAAUUAUAAUUGUAACCCAAUCCAGAAAAAAAAACAUAACAUUGAAAAUCUCAUGGUUAGAGAAAAUUAAAAAUUUAAAUUUAAACCUAUGUGCAUAUUUUGUUACAGAUUAGAAUGAUAUGAUCAACAAAAUGUUUUUCAAGCACAACAUAUAUAAGGAUAAAUAUUUAGGAGGGUAUAGUAGAAUAGAAAUAUGACUUAACAAAUAAAAAUGAAAGAAAGUUUCUAGAUGUUAGGGAACAGUUUAAUAUACUUUAAAAGGAUUAUGGUAGUUAUCAAAUUACAACAUUCGAUUUCUCAUGAAACAUUUAGAAGAAUGUUGUAAUAGUUUCAUUUUUAAAUGUCAGUUCUUACAGUGUGCCAGAAAUUAAGUGCUGUGUAACUAUUUAAUAUUAUGAUGAUUUUUUCCCUUGAAAAUAAAAAAUCUUUGAGGCAAUAAAUGAUUUUUCAAAAUUAUUAGAAAGGGUACAUGAACAAAAAUAACCUAAGGUAGUGGUGUUUGGGGCAAACUCUUCAUCUUAACUAGUUUGAACUUUUGACUAAAAUAAAAGUAUUUGACAAAUUAAUUUUAUUUGUGAGCAGGAGAUGGAGGAAGCAUACUUCUAUGAAUUAUUGGGCAUGAGGUUAUGCCCCAGAUUGGAAAAAGUCUAAUAAGAGCCACUCCUAUUCAUUCACUUCCCUAGAAGAGAACUCAGAAAAAGGUGUGACCCCCAAAGUCAUAGAUAAAAGGACGGUUGAUUAUAUAACCAGUCACAUAAGGGUCCAUUUAAUCGCUAAGGGCCUGGAGACAUAAGUAAAGACAGUUCUUGCUAUGUUGAUUUUAAAUGACUCUAUUAAGAAGGACUCUAAGAAGGUAGAAGUAUGCAGAAAAGUAGACCCUGUCAGACAGGAAAUAUCCAAAGACCAGAAAGCCUGAUAUUUUCCAAGAGUUAUAUCACUGUUGAGAACUUCAUCAGAAUUGGGAGGAGCUUGCCUGUUUUCCUUACUUUCACAGUAGGUGUCUGGAGAUCAUCUCUUGUGGGUAGAUGUCUUUCCUAUCAUUUUUCUGCAUUAAAUAAUAUUUUAACCUUCUAUCAUCUUACACUUCUUUACCUUUUGCAUAGACUUGCCCAGUGAAUACCCAUUUUCCCUUAGAAUUUUUCCCCCUUCCCUGAUUAUAUAAAGGAUUUUUGCUAUUUUGAUAUAUUUGGUACGGAUUGAAAUUAAAUGGAUUGAAGUUGGACCUGUGUGGGGAGAGAGGGGAUUCAAAACGGUAGCUUUAAAUGGGGAGUUAUUGGUCAAGGGCCCAAGUUUUCAAUUAUAAGAUGGGUAAGUUCUGGGAAUCUGAUGUAUAGCAUGGUGACUCUAGUUAAAAAUACUGUAUUGUAUAUUUGAAAGUUCCUAAGAGAGCAGAUCUUAAGUGUUCUUGCCACACAGAAAAAAGAAAAAAGGUGACUAUGUGAGGUGAUGGAUGUAUGAGCUGAUGCUAUGGUGGUAAUCACUUUGCAAUAUAUGUGUUCCAAAUAAACAUAUUGUUGUACAACCUAAACUUAUACAAUAUUAUAUGUCAAUUAUAUCUCAACAAAGUUGGGAAAGACAAAAACCAAAGUGCUAGCUUUGAUGAAAACAUAUCAAGUUAAAUACGCCAAAGAGUGCCAAAUGCUAGCAAGAGAGGAAAUUCACAAGGCUAACAUAGAGAAAUUAGAGAGAAAUUAAGCUUGCAUUAUAAUAGGCAAGACAAUAAACAAUGUAAAUAAGUAAAAUGUAUAAUGAUGAAUGCUAAAGAGAAAAAAAAGCAGGGAAGAAAAUAUGUGCAGGGUAAAAAGGGAGGAAGUGAGCUUUGGGACUCUCUCAGGGAAGAACAAUGCAAAGACCUUGCAGUAGGAGCAUGUGUAGUAGACAUCAAUGAGGACAGCAUGGCUGUAGUUGAGUGGCCAUAAGGAAAAAAAAAUUAGGAGAUGAGGCCAGAGAGUUGGUGGACCAGGCCCUGCAGAGCAUUAUGAAUAACUGUAAGGACUUCACUUUUCAUCUGCGUGUGCUGGGAAGCCAGUGUUGGGCUCUAACAGAGAUGUAGUGUGAUGUGGCGAAAUCCCCCUGGCUGCUGGGUUGAGAUUAGACUGAAGUGGAACACAGGUAAAUUCCAAAGGCUACUUGGGAGACAAAGAUAUUACAGGUAAGAUCUGAUGGUGAUUUAGACUAAGGGAGAGACAAAUGGGGGCGGGGGCGGUGAGAAGUGGUCUGAGUGUGGAUAAGAUUUGAAGCUAUACUAGGUUUUACUAAGUAGAAAAGGUUUAUAAACAGUUUAUAGGUUUGCUAAAAAUAACAUGGUAUCAAUAAUAUCUAAAGAACUUUCAAGCCAUACCAGUUUUUUUAUGUUUCCCCUUAACACCACAAAGACAAAAGAGAAUGAAAAGAGGGGUUCUUCUAGCAGAAGCCAAAUGCCAGGAAACAGGUUGUUGGCUCUUUGUGUAGGGAAUGCUGGUCUCUUACUAUUGACUGAAGCCAGAAGACAGUCAGUGGCCUUCCCAAACUUGGCCAAGUUGGAAGCAGGGAGAUAGGAUUGUGACACAGCCACAAAGAAAGGACAGGUGGAAAGCACCUGAUGCUGCCUAAUGUAAUUAGCUCAAUAAUAAAGAUGCACAGGCAUGUGACAAGGGUGAAAAUUUGAAUUUGUAGCCAUAUGUGUCCCCUCUAGAGGGAUAUUUUCUCAGCAGGCUGGAGGCACAGGGUUACAGAGGUGAGAUGAGGGGACUAGUAUAGAAAGUCAGAACACAUGGAGUUGAGCAUUUGUUUCUGAGCUGAAACAGAUUCCCCUUCCAAGUGACAACACACUCAAGGCCCUCAACUUUGUUCCAGAAGGUUCUUUGUUCUCCUAUUCAAACAUACAUCUGCUAGCUGACAGCUUGGGAAUUUGAACAUUUAAUUCUCUUUCCUGCCAAAACCCAGCCCUUCCUGCUAGACUCAGGACUAAGUGAUUGCCAAAGUAGACAAUUAGUCUUGUUUCCUUUCCAAAGAGACACCAGCUACAUUUUCACAUGAAAGGGAACAUUCCCAAUAAAAAAAAAUCCACAAGAAUAUAAUGACAGUGGGGAAGUUGGACAGAGGAGAAAGAGGGUAGAUAAUAUAAAUCCACCAUGAAAAAUUGAGUGAAAUAUGCUAAGAAUCUAAUCCAGGUCCCUUAUACUCACAUUUUAUCUUGGGUGAUAAAAGUUUAUCAGAAAACCAUGUAAUAACCUAAUAAGUACUGUAUAGGAUGAUUUUUAUCUAACAGUGAAAUACUCAUAUGUCUAGUGAUAGAGGUAAAAUAACCUUUCUUGGCAUAUUGCGAUGACUACAUUUUUCUUUUUUCUUCUUUGCUUCCACUGGCUCCCGUGAUAUUCUAGAUCAAACCGACCACAAAUCUCUAAAUACCUCUUCAAGAUUAUUUACAUAUUUUCUACCUUUCCCACUUCUAUCGUCUCCUCUCUUUAACUUUUUCUAAUGUACUCACACAUAAUUGUAUAGAAUUAUAACAUUCUAUUAGGCCACGUUACCCAGCCUCAAAAUUUACUACCAUUAGGUCAAAGCCAAGGGCCACUAAACUUUCCUAGGAUAUUAGUCUCUUUGAGAGAGACACAAAUAUGUAAAGCCUCCUCAGAUGAGUCUCCUCAGCUAUGAGGGCUAUAAUAGUGUGCUUGGCCAGUUUACUGAUGUUAGUGGACUCCAACUUUAUGUCCCUAGGCAAGCUUUCUGAAGGUUAGCUCAGACCCCAAUGCCCUGCAUAAUUUUCCUAAGGAUAACUAAGAUGUUUAAAACUUCUAAGCAUUAAGCAAGGCUACAUAAUUAAGAGCCUUUAGAUUUGUCAUUAUACAAUCCCAUUUUUUGAGAUCAGCACAAGAGGUUGAUAUAGCUGUCCAUGGUUCUGAAAGGGUGGUAGUUUUGAACUAAUUAAUUUAAGAAGGUCUAAUUAAUUUACUAAUAUCUAAUGGAUUCCCAGUAUUCUGUUGUGUAACUUGUAUCAAUGAUAUGUCCCACAACUCUUUGGUUUGACAUUCUGCUGUGAAUGACUAAAAUAUAGAUUGGUGUGAAUAGUCAUUAAGCCCGUUAGAAAACAUUUAGUGAUUAAAACUUCCCAGUCCGUUGGGGUGCCUGUGUGGCUCAGUCGGUUGAGCGUCUGGCUUUGGCUCAGGUCAUGAGCUCGCAGUCUGUGAGUUCAAACCCUGCAUCGGGCUCUGUGCUGACAGCUCAGAGC
This is a long non-coding RNA of Felis catus (domestic cat), 13797 nucleotides long. RefSeq lists it as uncharacterized. NCBI's taxonomy places the organism in Eukaryota, Metazoa, Chordata, Mammalia, Carnivora, Felidae. The record is from RefSeq and is a predicted model, not a curated record. The transcript has 12 exons.